Pteronotus mesoamericanus is the source of this 151-nucleotide small nucleolar RNA. RefSeq annotates it as small nucleolar RNA SNORA22. NCBI's taxonomy places the organism in Eukaryota, Metazoa, Chordata, Mammalia, Chiroptera, Mormoopidae. The transcript has a single exon. The record is from RefSeq and is a predicted model, not a curated record.
AUGUUCAGAAAUUGGAAGACUCCAUAUUGUUAAGAUGCCAAUUUUAUCUAAAAUAAGGAAUAAACUCUGUGCUAAAGCAAUGUCUGUCCUUUUCCUCUGCAUUGAAAGGACUAUUUAUCCUUUUAAAUGUAUUCAGAAAGACAGCACAUUU